Molecule: ribosomal RNA, 204 nt
Filed under: uncultured bacterium
Lineage: Bacteria
Description: partial 16S ribosomal RNA
Rfam family: Bacterial small subunit ribosomal RNA
Source: RNAcentral
CGUCUACUCUUGGACAGCCUUCUGAAAGGAAGAUUAAUACAAGAUGGCAUCAUGAGUCCGCAUGUUCACAUGAUUAAAGGUAUUCCGGUAGACGAUGGGGAUGCGUUCCAUUAGAUAGUAGGCGGGGUAACGGCCCACCUAGUCUUCGAUGGAUAGGGGUUCUGAGAGGAAGGUCCCCCACAUUGGAACUGAGACACGGUCCAA